This 617-nucleotide ribosomal RNA is filed under the name Lysobacteraceae bacterium JMT1939. Its description in RNAcentral is "bacterial SSU rRNA". It matches the Rfam family "Bacterial small subunit ribosomal RNA", at positions 65 to 668 of the family's 1533-position model. The record is from RNAcentral. Lineage: Bacteria; Pseudomonadati; Pseudomonadota; Gammaproteobacteria; Lysobacterales; Lysobacteraceae.
AACGGCAGCAUGAGGUGUAGCAAUACACCUUGAUGGCGAGUGGCGGACGGGUGAGGAAUGCAUCGGAAUCUGCCCAAUCGUGGGGGACAACGCAGGGAAACUUGCGCUAAUACCGCAUACGACCUUCGGGUGAAAGCAGGGGAUCUUCGGACCUUGCGCGAUUGGAUGAGCCGAUGCCGGAUUAGCUAGUUGGCGGGGUAAAAGCCCACCAAGGCGACGAUCCGUAGCUGGUCUGAGAGGAUGAUCAGCCACACUGGGACUGAGACACGGCCCAGACUCCUACGGGAGGCAGCAGUGGGGAAUAUUGGACAAUGGGGGCAACCCUGAUCCAGCAAUGCCGCGUGUGUGAAGAAGGCCUUCGGGUUGUAAAGCACUUUUAUCGGGAACGAAACAUUGUCGGCUAAUACCCGGCAAGACUGACGGUACCCGAGGAAUAAGCACCGGCUAACUCCGUGCCAGCAGCCCGCGGUAAUACGGAGGGUGCAAGCGUUAAUCGGAAUUACUGGGCGUAAAGCGUGCGCAGGCGGUUUGUUAAGUCUGCUGUGAAAUCCCGAGCUCAACUUGGGAAUUGCAAUGGAUACUGGCAAGCUUGGAAUAUGGUAGAAGAAGGUGGAAUU